CCUUUACUUCAUUAAAUGAUUUCCUUUUUCUGAUAACGGAUAUAUUUUCUGAUAACGGUUAUAUCUGUAACUAAAUAAAUUUCCUUUUUCUUGAUAACGGAUAUAUUUCCUUUUUUCUGAAUUUCCUUUUUCCUGGCAAGAGCCUCUCUGUUUAUAAAUACUCAACAUCUCUUCAUCGAGAAAUCAAAAUCUUAUCACAGACCAAAAUAAAAAGAGAGAGUGUUCUAAUGGCGACGAGAGCAAAAACAUACAUGAACAAGUCUGUGGUAUCAUCUUUUCUAAAGCUAUGAUCGAUUUGAUUUUUACUGAUGGCCGUGGCGGUGGUGGUGAGGCAGCAGCGUCUUCAAGUCACCGGAGAGAACAAGUCUCAAUCGUCGGGGAUUAGGUCACAGCCGCAGAGUCACACCGACAGUGAGCAAAGCCAAUCAUCAACCGUUCGACUAGUCACAAUCACUUAACAAUUUCUUGAUCUGUUAUUCCAAGUUAUCCUAGAAUUGUGGACAACACUAUCAGUCUAUCACCAACACAUAUGCGCUGCUAAGCAUACCGUCCCAUCCGACGAGUCCGUAAGAGGUGUUGAUAGUCCAACCGCUUUUCACGCAAGUAAAUUAACACUUAGCAAUUGAAAACAAAUCGGACUAAGCAUCCCGUCACAUCCGACGGGUCCGUAAAAAAUAUUAUUAGUCCAACCGCUUUUCACGCAAGUAAAUUACACUUACACUAAUAAUUAUGGUUUUUUUGCAAAUAUUGUUAUUAUGUAAACUAAAUUUUAAAACUAUUUGUUUGACUAUACAAAUAUUUUUGUUUUAAACAACUAAGUGUUAAAUUUCAAUGCAAUGAAAACUUUGAAGAGGAUAUUUUAACCUUAGUUUUAAAACUUUGAGAACCAGCUUUUGUUCUGG
Molecule: long non-coding RNA, 902 nt
Organism: Arabidopsis lyrata subsp. lyrata
Lineage: Eukaryota; Viridiplantae; Streptophyta; Magnoliopsida; Brassicales; Brassicaceae
Exons: 4
Source: RefSeq, a predicted model, not a curated record